Molecule: ribosomal RNA, 273 nt
Filed under: uncultured bacterium
Lineage: Bacteria
Description: partial 16S ribosomal RNA
Rfam family: Bacterial small subunit ribosomal RNA
Source: RNAcentral
UACGUAGGUGGCAAGCGUUGUCCGGAUUUAUUGGGUUUAAAGGGUGCGUAGGCGGCCUCAUAAGUCAGUGCUGAAAUAUCCCGGCUUAACCGGGAGGGUGGCAUUGAUACUGUGGGGCUUGAGUAAAGUCGAGGUAGGCGGAAUUGACGGUGUAGCGGUGAAAUGCUUAGAUAUCGUCAAGAACACCGAUAGUGCAGACAGCUUACUAGGCUUUAACUGACGCUGAGGCACGAAAGUGUGGGGAUCAAACAGGAUUAGAAACCCCCGUAGUCC